UACGUAGGGGGCAAGCGUUGUCCGGAUUUAUUGGGCGUAAAGCGCGCGCAGGCGGCUUGGUAAGUCGGCCGUGAAAUCUCCAGGCUCAACUUGGAGGGGUCGGGCGAGACUGCCAGGCUCGAGGUGGGUAGAGGGCAGUGGAAUUCCGGGUGUAGUGGUGGAAUGCGUAGAGCUCCGGAGGAACACCAGUGGCGAAGGCGGCUGCCUGGGCCUGGCCUGACGCUGAGGCGCGAAAGCGUGGGGAGCAAUCCGG
This 253-nucleotide ribosomal RNA is filed under the name uncultured bacterium. RNAcentral's name for it is "partial 16S ribosomal RNA". It matches the Rfam family "Bacterial small subunit ribosomal RNA", at positions 524 to 776 of the family's 1533-position model. The record is from RNAcentral.